GGGCCCGCACAAGCGGUGGAGCAUGUGGUUUAAUUCGACGCAACGCGCAGAACCUUACCAACCCUUGACAUACUUGUCGCGGAUUGAGGAGACUCUUACCUUCAGUUCGGCUGGACCAGUGACAGGUGCUGCAUGGCUGUCGUCAGCUCGUGUCGUGAGAUGUUCGGUUAAGUCCGGCAACGAGCGCAACCCACAUCCCUAGUUGCCAGCAGUUCGGCUGGGCACUCUAUGGAAACUGCCCGUGAUAAGCGGGAGGAAGGUGUGGAUGACGUCAAGUCCUCAUGGCCCUUACGGGUUGGGCUACACACGUGCUACAAUGGUGGUGACAAUGGGUUAAUCCCAAAAAGCCAUCUCAGUUCGGAUUGGGGUCUGCAACUCGACCCCAUG
This 387-nucleotide ribosomal RNA is filed under the name uncultured bacterium. Its description in RNAcentral is "bacterial SSU rRNA". It matches the Rfam family "Bacterial small subunit ribosomal RNA", at positions 917 to 1322 of the family's 1533-position model. The record is from RNAcentral.